GACGAACGCUGGCGGCGUGCUUAACACAUGCAAGUCGAACGGAAAGGCCCUGCUUUUGUGGGGUGCUCGAGUGGCGAACGGGUGAGUAACACGUGAGUAACCUGCCCUUGACUUUGGGAUAACUUCAGGAAACUGGGGCUAAUACCGGAUAGGAUCUCCUGCUGCAGGGUGGGGGUUGGAAAGUUUCGGCGGUUGGGGAUGGACUCGCGGCUUAUGAGCUUGUUGGUGGGGUAGUGGCUUACCAAGGCUUUGACGGGUAGCCGGCCUGAGAGGGUGAACGGCCACAAUGGGACUGAGAGACGGACCAGACUCCUACGGGAGGCAGCAGUCGGGAAUAUUGCACAAUGGGCGGAAGCCUGAUGCAGCAGCGCCGCGUGCGGGAAGCCGGCCUUCGGGUUGUAAACCGCUUUCGCCUGUGACGAAGCGUGAGUGACGGUAAUGGGUAAAGAAGCACCGGCUAACUACGUG
RNAcentral lists this ribosomal RNA (468 nucleotides) under uncultured bacterium. Its description in RNAcentral is "partial 16S ribosomal RNA". It matches the Rfam family "Bacterial small subunit ribosomal RNA", at positions 28 to 507 of the family's 1533-position model. The record is from RNAcentral.